UGGCCCUCGGCACCGUUAAAUCGUCCCUCCUCUUCCCCCUACAAGUGCGUGGAACACGGAGGGGUUGGUACGUCGGAAGGUUUAUUUACAUGCGCAUCGCUAUCUUCAUCCUGUUGUUUGUCUGCUGGCGGCAAGGAGCUAUCACCACCUCUCCAAGUUUCCCUGCAUUUAUUUACAAGCAAGUAAUAUGGAGGUGACAAUUGAUGAAAGUUUUACGAGAACCAGCCCCAUUUCCUCUGCGGAGAAGCAGAUGUUGAUUGGGUUGAUAACCCAAGAACCCAUCUUGAAAAAAAGAAAAACAGAUGGGAAACUACUUGAGCAAAAGAGACGAGCGUGGGCACGCGUUACCCAACAUUUCAAUGCCCAUAACAUGGGUCCCAAGAGGACGGAGGGACAGCUCAGAAAAAUUUGGGAAAAAAUAAGAGGGCAAAUCAAGAGGACGCACGCCAAAAGCGUGAGAUGUUCAGGACAGGUGGUGGCACCCCUCCCAAGGUACUCACACCUGAGACGGAGCAGGUCCUCUCCAUUCUUGGGACCGAUAUCCAGGAUAUUGGCAACCCCUAUGAUCAUGAUGCCAUGUCAUCUCAGGGUAAGUGACCAUUGUCAGUUUUGAUUACCAUGUUUGUUAAUUAUAUUUGUCAGUAAAAAUGCAGGAACUUGUGAAAUCUUAAAUUCUUCAGUCAUGCAAUAACGGAAAGUACCCAAGAAUAAUCAACAAGUUUACAGUAGUAUUAAACA
Eriocheir sinensis (Chinese mitten crab) is the source of this 738-nucleotide long non-coding RNA. RefSeq lists it as uncharacterized. The transcript is spliced from 3 exons. The record is from RefSeq and is a predicted model, not a curated record. NCBI's taxonomy places the organism in Eukaryota, Metazoa, Arthropoda, Malacostraca, Decapoda, Varunidae.